Molecule: ribosomal RNA, 208 nt
Filed under: uncultured Bacteroidota bacterium
Lineage: Bacteria; Pseudomonadati; Bacteroidota
Description: uncultured Bacteroidetes bacterium partial 16S ribosomal RNA
Rfam family: Bacterial small subunit ribosomal RNA
Source: RNAcentral
UGCGUAGGCGGGACUAUUAAGUCAGUGGUGAAAUCCUGCAGCUUAACUGCAGAACUGCCAUUGAUACUGAUAGCCUUGAGUUUGGUUAAGGUAGGCGGAAUGUGUAAUGUAGCGGUGAAAUGCUUAGAUAUUACACAGAACACCAAUUGCGUAGGCAGCUUACUGAGCCGACACUGACGCUGAGGCACGAAAGCGUGGGGAUCGAACA